Molecule: ribosomal RNA, 253 nt
Filed under: uncultured bacterium
Lineage: Bacteria
Description: partial 16S ribosomal RNA
Rfam family: Bacterial small subunit ribosomal RNA
Source: RNAcentral
UACGGGGGGGGCAAGCGUUGUUCGGAAUUACUGGGCGUAAAGGGCUCGUAGGCGGCCAACUAAGUCGGACGUGAAAUCCCCAGGCUCAACCUGGGAACUGCAUCCGAUACUGGAUGGCUUGAAUUCGGGAGAGGGAUGCAGAAUUCCCGGUGUAGCGGUGAAAUGCGUAGAGAUCGGGAGGAACACCAGAGGCGAAGGCGGCUUACUGGAUAGGAACUGACACUCAACUGCGAAAGCGUGGGGAGCAAACAGG